GUGGGGAAUCUUGGACAAUGGGCGCAAGCCUGAUCCAGCCAUGCCGCGUGAGUGAUGAAGGCCUUAGGGUUGUAAAACUCUUUCGCCGAGGACGAUAAUGACGGUACUCGGAGAAGAAGCUCCGGCUAACUUCGUGCCAGCAGCCGCGGUAAUACGAAGGGGGCUAGCGUUGUUCGGAUUUACUGGGCGUAAAGCGCGUGUAGGCGGAUUUGUAAGUUGGGGGUGAAAUCCCGAGGCUCAACCUCGGAACUGCCUCCAAAACUACAAGUCUGGACCUAAGUAGAGGCAAGUGGAAUUGCGAGUGUAGAGGUGAAAUUCGUAGAUAUUCGCAGGAACACCAGUGGCGAAGGCGACUUGCUGGACUUAUGGUGACGCUGAGACGCGAAAGCGUGGGGAGCAAACAGGAUUAGAUACCCGGGUAGUCC
Molecule: ribosomal RNA, 425 nt
Filed under: uncultured bacterium
Lineage: Bacteria
Description: bacterial SSU rRNA
Rfam family: Bacterial small subunit ribosomal RNA
Source: RNAcentral